CAUGACAAUACAGUAGAACAAACAAAUGAAUACACAAGCAGAGGUGGACUGUCAUACCUUACGAGUCCAAACAAGAAAAGUGUAGAAAUUACCAUCUUUGGCGUUUAGAAAGUCAAUUGAGAGAGUAUCAUGGUGGACUAUCGGAGUUAGAUUUAGCAAGAGAUACGACAAACGAGAAUUCGAGUAGACCAGCAAAGAAACAAUCGAGUUAGCUGAUGAAUCCUUCUGGGAGCAGCGUGACUUGGACAAAACGAGCUUGAGAGCAACGACACACCAAACCGAACUACGACAACAGAAGCUAAGCCAAAACUUCCGAUUUUGAACACGGACUAGUGAGACGAGCAGGG
This 347-nucleotide unclassified non-coding RNA is filed under the name Hevea brasiliensis (rubber tree). Lineage: Eukaryota; Viridiplantae; Streptophyta; Magnoliopsida; Malpighiales; Euphorbiaceae. The record is from RNAcentral.